Molecule: ribosomal RNA, 445 nt
Filed under: uncultured organism
Description: partial 16S ribosomal RNA
Rfam family: Bacterial small subunit ribosomal RNA
Source: RNAcentral
ACUCCUACGGGAGGCAGCAGUGGGGAAUAUUGGACAAUGGGCGCAAGCCUGAUCCAGCCAUGCCGCGUGAGUGAUGAAGGCCCUAGGGUUGUAAAGCUCUUUCACCGGUGAAGAUAAUGACGGUAACCGGAGAAGAAGCCCCGGCUAACUUCGUGCCAGCAGCAGCGGUAAUACGAAGGGGGCUAGCGUUGUUCGGAUUUACUGGGCGUAAAGCGCACGUAGGCGGACUAUUAAGUCAGGGGUGAAAUCCCGGGGCUCAACCCCGGAACUGCCUUUGAUACUGGUAGUCUUGAGUUCGAGAGAGGUGAGUGGAAUUCCGAGUGUAGAGGUGAAAUUCGUAGAUAUUCGGAGGAACACCAGUGGCGAAGGCGGCUCACUGGCUCGAUACUGACGCUGAGGUGCGAAAGCGUGGGGAGCAAACAGGAUUAGAUACCCUAGUAGUCCC